CACGUAGGCGGCAUAGCAAGUUAAGGGUGAAAUCCCGGGGCUCAACCUCGGAACUGCUCUUAAAACUGCUAAGCUAGAGAUAGUCAGAGGCGGGUGGAAUUCCUGGUGUAGAGGUGAAAUUCGUAGAUAUCAGGAGGAACACCGGUGGCGAAGGCGGCCCGCUGGGGCUAUUCUGACGCUAAGGUGCGAAAGCGUGGGGAGCGAACG
Molecule: ribosomal RNA, 207 nt
Filed under: uncultured bacterium
Lineage: Bacteria
Description: partial 16S ribosomal RNA
Rfam family: Bacterial small subunit ribosomal RNA
Source: RNAcentral